GAUGCCGAUGAUAGGACGUUGAAUGCACCAGUUCCCAAUCGAUCACCGAAGUUGAGCAACGUUUCGCGUGGUUAAAUGGUCACCCAUCUGCACAAUCACGUCCUGCCAGCU
RNAcentral lists this ribosomal RNA (111 nucleotides) under Diaphorina citri (Asian citrus psyllid). Lineage: Eukaryota; Metazoa; Arthropoda; Insecta; Hemiptera; Psyllidae. The record is from RNAcentral.